This 447-nucleotide ribosomal RNA is filed under the name uncultured bacterium. Its description in RNAcentral is "partial 16S ribosomal RNA". It matches the Rfam family "Bacterial small subunit ribosomal RNA", at positions 41 to 523 of the family's 1533-position model. The record is from RNAcentral.
GGCAUGCCUUACACAUGCAAGUCGAACGCGAAAGUGUCUUCGGACAUUAGUAGAGUGGCAAACGGGUGAGUAACGCGUGGGAAUCUACCUUAUAGUACGGGAUAGCCUCGGGAAACUGGGAUUAAUACCGUAUACUCCCUUCGGGGGAAAGAUUUAUCGCUAUAAGAUGAGCCCGCGUCAGAUUAGCUAGUUGGUGGGGUAAAAGCCUACCAAGGCAACGAUCUGUAGCUGGUCUGAGAGGACGAUCAGCCACACUGGGACUGAGACACGGCCCAGACUCCUACGGGAGGCAGCAGUGGGGAAUAUUGGACAAUGGACGCAAGUCUGAUCCAGCAAUGCCGCGUGAAUGAUGAAGGCCUUAGGGUUGUAAAGUUCUUUUAGUGGGGAAGAUAAUGACGGUACCCACAGAAAAAGCACCGGCUAACUUCGUGCCAGCCGCCGCAGUAA